CACCCGCAGCUCGAGUGGUGGUCACUUUUAUUGAGCCUAAAGCGUUUGUAGCCGGUUUCGCAAAUCUUCAGAUAAAUUCCUCUGCUUAACAGAUGAUCUUCUGAAGAGACUGCGAGACUUGGGACCGGGUGAGGUUGAAGGUACUUCCGGGGUAGGGGUAAAAUCCUGUAAUCCUGGAAGGACGACCGGUGGCGAAGGCGUUCAACUAGAACGGAUCCGACGGUGAGGAACGAGGGCUAGGGUAGCAAACCGGAUUAGAUACCCGGGUAGUCCUAGCUGUAAACACUGCCCACUUGGUGUUGCCCCUCCGAUGAGGGGAGGCAGUGCCGGAGCGAAGGUGUUAAGUGGGCCGCUUGGGGAGUAUGGUCGCAAGGCUGAAACUUAAAGGAAUUGGCGGGGGAGCACCGCAACGGGAGGAGCGUGCGGUUUAAUUGGAUUCAACGCCGGAAAACUCACCGGGAGCGACCUUUGGAUGAGAGUCAGCCUGAUGAGCUUACUCGAUAGAAGGAGAGGUGGUGCAUGGCCGUCGUCAGCUCGUACCGUAGGGCGUUCACUUAAGUGUGAUAACGAGCGAGACCCCCAUCUCCAAUUGCUAACGUGCAUUCGCGUGCACGCGCACUUUAGAGGGACCGCCAGUGCUAAACUGGAGGAAGGAGGGGUCGACGGCAGGUCAGUACGCCCCGAAUCUCCCGGGCAACACGCGCGCUACAAAGGGCAGGACAAUGAGUUGCCACCUCGAAAGGGGGAGCUAAUCUCGAAACCUGUUCGUAGUUAGGAUUGAGGGCUGUAACUCGCCCUCAUGAAUGUGGAUUCCGUAGUAAUCGCGGGUCAACAGCCCGCGGUGAAUAUGCCCCUGCUCCU
This 861-nucleotide ribosomal RNA is filed under the name uncultured archaeon. Its description in RNAcentral is "bacterial SSU rRNA". It matches the Rfam family "Archaeal small subunit ribosomal RNA", at positions 474 to 1337 of the family's 1478-position model. The record is from RNAcentral.